UGACAAGGGGGCCCAGCCAAUGGGGGUGGCGAGCCGUAGCUGCCCUCCCGCGCGUUCCAAUCGCAGGCAGCAACUGUUGGGGUGGGCGGGGCUCGGGCGGGCGGGGAUCCGGAGCGAAGCGGCGCGGGGCGGAGUCCUCGGGCGCAGCGGCGGUGGCAGCAGCGGCGCCCCUCUGGGUGACUUGGCCGUGAGAAAGUGAAAGGAGCCCGCAGGCGGCGGCGACAGCUGCGCUGGGAGGGGCUUGUUUCCAGGCUCAGAGGCCCCGCGCACUCUGCGGGUGCGGAGCGAGCUUUUCGGUGUGCACUGUGACAACCACAAACACACUUUUGAACGUAGUGGGGCUUGGCUGCUGCGAGUUACGCAGCCACAACUUUAAACUACCGAGGGACGAUGUAAGACUGCUGUGUCGCUUUUCUUUCCUUCAAAUAAACUUUUACUCGGUACCUGUUCUUGGCAAUUAGACUGCGUUAAUCACAGCCACAAAGACGUGGAAAUGUCUGCCGUCAAGAAAUUGGAAAUCGUAUCGAGGCAAGAAUUACAAGUAAAAAGUUGAAUAACAAGUGGUGGGGGAGGGGGAAUGGCUGAAGAAAAUAAAAUAGAAAAAAAAACCCAGACUGGCAAGCCUGUUGCUAACCAACCUGCCAGGAGACCUUUCAACUGGGCAAAAUGUGC
This 672-nucleotide long non-coding RNA is filed under the name Homo sapiens (human). RNAcentral describes it as "HSALNT0025112". Lineage: Eukaryota; Metazoa; Chordata; Mammalia; Primates; Hominidae. The record is from RNAcentral.